Molecule: ribosomal RNA, 47 nt
Filed under: Punica granatum (pomegranate)
Lineage: Eukaryota; Viridiplantae; Streptophyta; Magnoliopsida; Myrtales; Lythraceae
Description: partial 28S ribosomal RNA
Source: RNAcentral
GACCCCGGUCAGGCGGGGCCACCCGCUGAGUUUAAGCAUAUCAAUAA